CACGAGAUGCUUUUUUCCUCUCCGGGGCGAAAAGACAAAACCGUUAGGCCGCCACCCACGUGGCGCUGGGCCCACUCCAGUGGGGACCACCGGAUACACUCUCGAUCCGGGGCCCACUCCGGUGGAGACCUCCACCGGAUACGCUCUCGAUCCGGACUAAUAUCAUGAUGAUGAUGGUGAUGUAGAAGAAGAUGAAGGUUCCAAAUUAAGAACUUGUUUCAUAGCCAAACUACAUGACUAAUAUGAUGAUGAUGAUGGUGAUGUAGAAGAAGAUGAAGGUUCCAAAUUAAGAACUUGUUUCAUAGCCAAACUACAUGUGAGGAGGUUACCUUCCUUGGUAUCUCGAAGCCGGCCAGUCAACUCAUGAGAAUCGCCCGAAUCAUUGGUGGGAUUCUAGCAUCAAGGUUGACCUCUAUCAACUACUGUACCAAGAAGCUUUAUCAACUCAUGGCCUGGAAUGAGUUGACGUAGCAGCAAGUUGUUAGAUACAUUGGAGACCUUCAUCGUUCUAGGAUAUGCUCAAUCUGCAUUCUUUAUGGGUUCAGAUUGUAUCUUUCAUGCGAAAGAAUUUGUGACAUUUAACCAUUGGAUCGUUCACUACGUGAUUUAUGCUGUGGAUGGAAGGAAGAAUUUGUUGUGCUUUAAAAACUAUGUAAAGUGCAAUCCAAUGGCCGACGUCACGAAAAAAUAUCAAUUAUUCUUUCGCAUGAAAGAUACAACACGAACCCAUAUUCUUUAUGAACUAUCAUCCUAAAUUUACCCAGACUGUAAAUAAGCGAUAAAGUUAGGAAGGCCAGAAGGCAAACUAGGG
Molecule: long non-coding RNA, 811 nt
Filed under: Elaeis guineensis (African oil palm)
Lineage: Eukaryota; Viridiplantae; Streptophyta; Magnoliopsida; Arecales; Arecaceae
Description: long non-coding RNA (EGUI_LNC005544)
Source: RNAcentral